Podarcis lilfordi (Lilford's wall lizard) is the source of this 82-nucleotide non-coding RNA. NCBI's taxonomy places the organism in Eukaryota, Metazoa, Chordata, Lepidosauria, Squamata, Lacertidae. The record is from the annotation of a GenBank genome assembly.
UGUGUGAUAUAUAUAUCAGCUGGUAGAGCAUGAGACUCUUAAUCUCAGGGAUGUGGGUUCAAGCCCCAUGUUAGUUAUACAU